GCCUGGGUGGCUCAGUUAAGCGUCUGACUUCGGCUCAGAUCAUGAUCUCACAGUUCGAGUGGGUUCGAGUCCCACAUUGGGCU
RNAcentral lists this transfer RNA (83 nucleotides) under Felis catus (domestic cat). It matches the Rfam family "tRNA". From Rfam's summary of the family: Transfer RNA (tRNA) molecules are approximately 80 nucleotides in length. Their secondary structure includes four short double-helical elements and three loops (D, anti-codon, and T loops). Further hydrogen bonds mediate the characteristic L-shaped molecular structure. tRNAs have two regions of fundamental functional importance: the anti-codon, which is responsible for specific mRNA codon recognition, and the 3' end, to which the tRNAs corresponding amino acid is attached (by aminoacyl-tRNA synthetases). tRNAs cope with the degeneracy of the genetic code in two manners: having more than one tRNA (with a specific anti-codon) for a particular amino acid; and 'wobble' base-pairing, i.e. permitting non-standard base-pairing at the 3rd anti-codon position. The record is from Rfam by way of RNAcentral. RNAcentral also lists the same sequence under 4 other names. Lineage: Eukaryota; Metazoa; Chordata; Mammalia; Carnivora; Felidae.